ACCUACAUGAAAAUACGAGCACUUGAUCUCAUCGCUACUGUUCCGAUAAUUUCUAGUAGUCCAAUUCACUGUAUUUUAAUCUCCUUCUUUAUGCAUGAAUUGACAUUUACGUUAUGUGUUCUUGUCUUUGCAUAAAAAGAAAGCAAAGGAGGAAAUCACACACAACUACACCAGCCAAUCCCUUUUGUAAUCACACGAACUAAACUAAACUAAACAAACUGCAAAAAGAAUUCAAAGCCAAUCGGCCAAAGUGAGGGAAAAAAGAAGUAGAAGAAGAAGGAAAUCCUUACAGUGACCAAUUCUUUAAUCAACAAAGGAGCCAAUUUAACACCAUCAACCAGCUCCUCCUUCAAACUCUUUCCUGUAAGAUUAAACAAACCAGCCCACUUCAACAUCUCCUCAACACUCUCAAACACAGGCCUUGUUUCCACUCCUUCAUAAUACUUCAAAAACUUAUUCACUGUCUCGUCCACAAAGCCUUUCAUUUUUACAAGUGAAAAUCCAUAUCUCAUAAACAGAGAAACCCCAUUAAAAAAAGACACAAUCUUGUUCACAAUUCCCCACUUUGACUUCAGAUUUAGGGUUUUAACAACAAACCCAUUCCCAUCCCAAAUCCCCAAUGAAAAGGAACCCUCUGAACUGGAUGGUCUCUUCCUCGUCAAGUUUAGGAAAUUAGUAUAGUUCGAGGCGUGGUAGUUUUUGGGGUGGAGAAUUGAAGCUCCGGCCUCGAAGGCGUCGCCGCCGAUUGUCACGGAGGCUAUCCGACCGCCGACGAUGGCGUGUCUUUCGAAGAUUAGGAUUUUUGGAUGGUGGUUGGUGGAGUGCCGGCGGAGGAAGUGGGCGACUGAAGCGCCGCCAAUUCCGCUGCCGAUGAUGCAUACGGAAGCGCCGUCGCCUCCGGCUGCGGUGGAGGAGGAGGUGUGUGGGAAAGUAAAGGAGAAGAGCGCGAGUAAAGAGAAGAUUUUCAGUGGAAAAAGAAACAUGUUUACUUGUUGGCUUGUCACCACCAGCUUUGAUCAAGACACUAUCAACAAGGGAUGUUACUGCUUGAUGUUGACUUGAUUGAUUGUACCUUCUUCUAAUGGUAAUAAACAUAGAACCAAUGCCCACGUCCUUCCACUGGUUUGGUUUGGCAGCUUCUUCCAGUGUGCCGUGGGUUUUUGAUCGAGGGCGUGUCUGGAAAUGCGGAGUGCGGCAAUGGGUUUGUUGAAUCCAUUACCCACUGGUUGAACCCGUGGGUAAUGGAUUCAACAAAACUAUGUGCUAUAAAAGAUACCAUGUGUAUUGCUGGUGUUUUUGUGUAGCCGUAAAAACAAUUUGAAAAUAUUAAAAAAAAUUAAUU
This is a long non-coding RNA of Populus trichocarpa (black cottonwood), 1342 nucleotides long. RefSeq lists it as uncharacterized. The transcript has 2 exons. The record is from RefSeq and is a predicted model, not a curated record. NCBI's taxonomy places the organism in Eukaryota, Viridiplantae, Streptophyta, Magnoliopsida, Malpighiales, Salicaceae.